GUAGGUGAACCUGCGGAGGGAUCAUUCACAUGAUUUACUUUAUAAACAAACCGUGAACUUUAUUAUAUACUAUUCUUGUAUGAUAACUCCAGUUAUUAUUACAACGUCAUUCGAUGAACAUUUGAUAGCUGGCUCGUUUUUUUUAAAAAACUUUCUCAGCUGAUUUGUUUGUUAGACUAAACAUCUAUUCAAUCAAUCAACCAAACAUAGAAACAACUCUAUGCCCUGGAUAUCUUGGUUCUCGCAUCGA
RNAcentral lists this unclassified non-coding RNA (250 nucleotides) under plant metagenome. RNAcentral's name for it is "partial contains small subunit ribosomal RNA, internal transcribed spacer 1, and 5.8S ribosomal RNA". The record is from RNAcentral.